Molecule: non-coding RNA, 207 nt
Organism: Oryza brachyantha (malo sina)
Lineage: Eukaryota; Viridiplantae; Streptophyta; Magnoliopsida; Poales; Poaceae
Source: Rfam
AAUAAACUCAUUUUUCGCUUUUCCGUGUCCAACGUUUGACCAUUCGUCUUAUUUGAAAUUUUUUGCGAUUAAUAUUUUUAUUAUUACUAGAUGAUAAAAUAUAAAUAGUAUUUUAUACGUGACUAAUUUUUUUAAGUUUUUGUAUAAUUUUUUUAAAUAAGACGAAUGGUUAAAUAUUAGACAAGAUAAAAGAAACAAGUACUCGUG